This 670-nucleotide ribosomal RNA is filed under the name uncultured bacterium. RNAcentral's name for it is "bacterial SSU rRNA". It matches the Rfam family "Bacterial small subunit ribosomal RNA", at positions 56 to 763 of the family's 1533-position model. The record is from RNAcentral.
UGCAGUCGAAGGAGAAGCCAUCUUCGGAUGGUGGAAACUGGCGCACGGGUGAGUAACGCGUGGGUAUCUACCUUGGGGUGGGGAAUAACCGCUGGAAACGGCGGCUAAUACCGCAUACGCCUUUAGAGGGAAAGCUCCGGCGCCCUAAGAGGAGCCCGCGUUGGAUUAGCUUGUUGGUAGGGUAACGGCCUACCAAGGCUACGAUCUAUAGCUGGUCUGAGAGGAUGAUCAGCCACACUGGGACUGAGACACGGCCCAGACUCCUGCGGGAGGCAGCAGUGGGGAAUAUUGGACAAUGGGCGCAAGCCUGAUCCAGCCAUGCCGCGUGAGUGAAGAAGGCCUUAGGGUUGUAAAGCUCUUUCACCUGCGAAGAUGAUGACGGUAGCAGGAGAAGAAGCCCCGGCUAACUCCGUGCCAGCAGCCGCGGUAAUACGGAGGGGGCUAGCGUUGUUCGGAAUUACUGGGCGUAAAGGGCGCGUAGGCGGUAUGCCAUGUCAGGGGUGAAAGGCCUGGGCUCAACCUAGGAACUGCCUUUGAAACUGGCAAACUAGAGUCCGAGAGAGGAUGGCGGAAUUCCCAGUGUAGAGGUGAAAUUCGUAGAUAUUGGGAAGAACACCAGUGGCGAAGGCGGCCAUCUGGAUCGGCACUGACGCUGAGGCGCGAAAGCGUG